CGACCGGGUGAGUAACACGUGACUAACCUACCCUCGAGUGGGGAAUAACUCCGGGAAACCGGAGCUAAUACCGCAUAACAUCUUCGGAGCGCAAGCUCUGUUGAUCAAAGGAGCAAUUCGCUUGAGGAGGGAGUCGCGGCUGAUUAGCUAGUUGGCGGGGUAAUGGCCCACCAAGGCUUAGAUCGGUAGCCGGCCUGAGAGGGCGCACGGCCACACUGGAACUGAAACACGGUCCAG
RNAcentral lists this ribosomal RNA (237 nucleotides) under uncultured bacterium. Its description in RNAcentral is "partial 16S ribosomal RNA". It matches the Rfam family "Bacterial small subunit ribosomal RNA", at positions 99 to 334 of the family's 1533-position model. The record is from RNAcentral.